CAAAGGAAAACACGAAAAAAUCGACGUGCGUGAUUUCUAGCUGUUUAUUCAUAUCAUCAUUCCAUAUAUUUGUGGUGGAGCAGCGUUUGGCUAUGGACAAUCGACAAUCCCGUUCCUCGUCCAACUCCUCCACUGGCGGCUCUGAUGCUUCUUCCUCUGAGAAUCUCCACCGGCCUCAGCGCUUCGUCGUCGUCACUAUCCCUUUACUCUCUCUCUUCUCGAACUCCCGCUGCCACUGUCAGAGUUCCUCACUGUAAAUCUCUCAGAACUAAUCAGGAUAUAGCAGCAGUUGAGUAUAGGGAAUCGAACUCACAACUGACGCCGAAGAAUGACAAUGGAGGGUUUGGAGAGACGGAGGAGGACCCCGCCGAGCCCGGAGUUCCAGCAGCGGCUGCCGGCGGCGGCGAAGCUGGUGGAGGUAAAGGCAUUUCUGGAAUUCAAGUGCCCAGACAACGGUACAUAGCCAUUUCUAAGACGGAGCUUUUGGAUGGUAUUCUGCUGAUGUUCGAGUCACAAGAGGAGAUUGAUCAAUUUCUUCUUCUGACCUCGUGUUUGGACUCCAUACUUCAUGCUGAACACAAAAGCAUUUUAGAGGAAAUGCGAUUGGACUAUAACCUGACCCAGUCUGGCGAGAAGAAAAGAACUAGUGUCAAUGGUUCAGCUCGUUCAGAAAGAGACGAUGAACCCAAGGGAAAUGAAUUUGAAUCAUCUAUAGAAAAUACGGGUGGGACUGGGAGCAUGGAAGAGUACAGGGAAGACAAGAUUGAACCCGACAUGCUAGCAGCUUCGACUUUUAGCUUAAACCUGAGAUAUCUGUUGGGUUAUUUGCCCAGAAGCAUCAAGAGAAAUUCCUUGAAGGAGUCAAGAAUUGCUGUGGCCACUCGUUUCCAGCGCGCUUUCGUACAGCUUCUUUGUAAUGCUCAGUUUGAAGAACUGUCAGCCCGGGAUUUGAUGUUGACAACUGCAUUGAACAGUGAUUAUCUUCUUACUCUGCCAGUUUAUGUUGACUGGAAGAGGGCAUCUGAGUCCAAUGCUAUAAUAUUCAGGCGAGGUUAUGCAACGGAGAGGCAGAAGGGCUUACUACUUGUUGACAAAUUGGAUUAUUUACAGUCAAAACUGCUGCAAGGAAUUUUUUUAAUCAUCUCCAAGCCAUUAGCAAAAGUUGGAAUAUGGAUAACUGAGGCCUUUAAGAGCGCAUAUCAGGGACAAGAUGUACAAAUUUGGGCUGAGAGAGCUAAGCUUUGGCUGAAGAAACUGACCGUUCUCCAGCAGACAAAUCCUUUCAGUGAACAAAGUUCUGAUAACCUACUACAAGUUGACCAUUUAUCAGAUAAUGAACUUCCUAUUUGGCUGGCAGCACAAAGGGCAGUAACUCGAUAUGAAGGGAUUCUCUCACCCGUUGGACCCCGUGGCAGGCUCUUAAGGAAGUUCCUUAUAUGGAGUGGACUUAUCUCACCUAUGCCAAGAGAAUCAUUUGACCUUGAAUCUGAUGUUACUACUUCUGAACCAUAUUUAAGGCCAAUUUUCUUAUCGAGGAUAACACUUGGUGAUUUAUGGGAACCUGCCUCGAGGAAACACUUUGGAAACGAUCUCUGGAAAAGGUUGAAGACUGCUAUUUCCAUCCUUUUCUCGCAAUCAAUUCUCCAGGAGCCAGCAUUUCAAGAACUGAUUUUACUUUUCACUGAGGAAAGGGAUGAGGGAGAAACUGAAGAUACAGCUGAGGUUCCUUUGUUGCAGUUGAAGAUCUAUGAGAGAAUUCCUAUUCCAGAUUUACCGGUAAAUACUUAUGCUCAAUGUUAUUUUUCCUCACAAAAAGCUCUCUUUUCGUAUCCUAGACACGGUACGAUUGGAUAUUGCCACAAGCUUGGGACUUUUGGCGUACUUCAUAAACUACAAGUUUGUGAACAUCUUAUCAUCCCCGUAUGUAUGUUCUGUGCUUUUACAUAUUGCUUUGCCAAUUGUUUGCAUGUUAACAUGGAUGGAAAUACAAUGCUUUUUGACAUAGAAGGUACCAAUGUCUCAGUGUCUAUUGCUUAUGGAUUUUUAUGGCUUCAAAGGUGUCGAACUAAAUUACAACUUACGACGCAUUUGUGUAGUAUUAUUACAUGGGCUAGUGUCUGGAACCUUUCCUGGUACUUCAGCUUUGUGGAGGUAGGUUCUCUUCCAUUGUUCAGGUCUGGCGUCUUAGCAAUUUUUUUGGAAAGGGUAUCUGACUACGUUUUUCCCUCUUGUGAUGGAACUGUUGAAAAUGUAACCUCUAUUUGCGAGCAUAUGAAAGCGCAUUUCAAAACAGACAUUUUAUUCUGCUCAUAUGAAUUUCCAUUGUUCCAUCCUCUUUUUACUUCUUUUUUUCCUGAUUCCAUCAUUUAGACCCUAAUUUAGAUAUAUCCUUAUAUUCUGUAGUACGUAAUGCUUCUUUGAACUUGAUUGAAGUGAUUAAGAAAGGUCAACUGGAUGAGCAAAGAAAAUGGGGUAGAGUCAUCUAAAUGGAUGUUCUCUUGUGUGGAAACUUGUGGUUCGAAAUGUUGAUGGUAAACCACUUAUCUAGAAUAUAUAACUGAUAUGCAUAUUAUUUUUGGCUGGGGUUAAUGUUGACGACUUUGUGUACUAUUGACACAUUAAUUGCCAAUAACUUCAUUUUGGGCUUUACGUCUUGCAAAUUUUCAAGUGCCCUUUUUUACUGUUGGGGAGGGGGGAUUAGUGUUAAGUUUGGUGUCUCAUUUCAUAUUUACUUAAAUAAGCCAGUCUGCCGGUGUUUGAAUAUCUCAUCUUCCCCGCCAAAACUUGGUCAGAAAAUAUUUUUUUAAGUUAUGGUUUUUAUAUUUAGGUGGUCUGAAAAUAGGAAUAAUCUUCACUAAUUGAAGGCUUAAAAGAUCUGGGAUAUGUUCAGCCUCAUCCCAAAGAUUUAAACUGCAAGAGAGUGACACAGUUUAUUUCCUCAUUAGUAAAUUCUGAAUGAAGAAACGGUCAAACUCCAUCAAUCUGAUGCACUCAUGGAAGAUAAGAUUGUUAGCAAUAACUACAGUGUUGUAAUGGGCACAAUUAAUCUUCAAUAGGAGUUCAAACAUCUAUGCCAAAACCUAAAGGAAAGAGUGAGUAUUGUCAAACCAGGCAUGUAGAGACUGCUUUAGACCUUUACAUGCCUGUCACCAUCGAAGUACAAGGUGCGCACUAUUGGAAACUACAUAUCUAGAUCCAUGCACACUUCCUUCUAAUGAUCUCUUUGAAAGAAGGCGAAGAACAAUUGACUAUAACCGAAAAGAAUUAAGAUGAGCCAGAAGAGAUUAAGUCUACUGAUAAACAUCCCCAUGUGUCUGUGUAUACUGUAUGCCCUCAGGCAAUCAUCAUCAAAGGUCACUUAGGUUAUGCACUCCAGCCUAUUUUGAAACCAUUUAAGUUCCAAAACAUGCUCGGAACUGACAUAAGGAACUUCAGUUUUUUCUUUUUCAAAUUAGAAGCAAAUGUCCCAGGCUAAUGCAACAUGCUCAAUGCAAUUAUCUGCUGUGAGCUUGGAGCAAUGUUGCACAGCUUGGCAAUUUACUCUGGUCUGAUCCGCUCCACUCGGUUACCCCUUUGGAUUAGAUUUUUGGGAAUUUUUUUUUGGGAUCGGAUUGGAUUUGGAGGCAACAUUUUAAAAAAAUUUCAGAGUUCGGAUCAGCCACAUACCUCCAAGUCUCCGUUCCAAUCCCUAGCCCAUUAAUUAGUAUAUAUUAUGCUAUAUGAUAUUUUUAUUUUUACCAACAAUUGUUAUAUUUUUGCAAAAAAUAUGUGUGGAUUAUGUUUGUGGAAAUGUUAGACUUCGGUUCUUUGGUUUGGAUGUUUCUUGGAAUUCGAACUUUGUUGUAAUUAAAAAAAAUCAAAUUUUUUCAUCAUUAUUGGCUUGAAUUUGUAGUAACGAAAAAAUAUAGUACAUUUAUAUUUUUUGUCUUGAAAAUUUUCGGGCGCAGGGCAGGUAUGGACAAUCAAGGUGAUUUUCCGUUCCCGGGACGGUUACAGAUAUCAGAUUCGGGGAUUGAGGACUGGGAUGGCCAAAUCUAUCCCCAUCCCCCCACGUGAUUUGGGCAUAUUAAAUAAAGUUAAAACAUAUUACCCUAUAUGACCAACCCCGUAUUUUGACCGCUGAAAUCACCAGCACAACAUACAUGUAACACCAAGAAACCUGGGAGUUUCCAUGAUAACUAUUGACAAGGGAUGGUGAGAUAUUUAAGUUCUUUGAGCUCCUCUAUCAACGCUAGAAAGGAUUAAGGGAACUACAUGUUAUAAGGACUGCUACCAACGAAUGACCUAGGUUACGUGCCUAUUUCCAUGUCCAUGACUUGGGAGUGAGGACUAUGGCCAAACCUGUUUUGGUUUUGAUUCUUUGAUUCCUUGGUAUUUCUGUGGUACAGUUAGGCAUGCAAGUGGUUGAUAUGUGUCGGGUUUGUCGCAACAUAGGGAUUUGAAACACCUUCCAUUACCAAAGAAACUAUUUCUUGCCCAUUUUGUUUUAUACCGCGUGCAUUCUUGUGAGCUAUGACUAAUAUCUCACUGAAGUACCAUGAAAAUGCUGUUAACUGGUGAAAUAUAUCAAGUACUUCUAAUUGUCGACAGGGGGAUAUUUGCUCCUUGCACUAAUAUUGGCUUCUUGUAUUUGUAGGUAUAAUGCACUUGUGCUUGGGCUGCUAUAUUGUUAUCUGCAUGAUCACUUAUAUUAUUUGUCAGUGUGUAUAGUUUUUUCAUUUCGUGGUUCACAAGUCAGGGGCCUGAAAAAUAUUUAUCUUGCUGCAAAUUUCCAGACAACUUUUGCUUGUGUGACCUGUGUUUAUGUUAGCAAAACCUAUUGGGCAAGUUAAGAAGUAUUUUACGUGAAACCGAGAACAUAAAAAGAAUAAGCAACAUUGAUGCCCACAUUGGGCCCUUUAUAUCAUGCAUAAUAAACUAAAAGCAACCUCGAUGUGGACGAAUAGCGAAGAAGUGGAACAGAAAGAGUAUUAAUUCUUUAAAUUGCUCUGUACGAUAUCCGCUGCAGAAAGAAUUCGUUCACAUUUUACAUAGACAUCUCUUUGGUGUGGACUAGGAUUUACUUCUGGAGGUUGUUCCUCUCCAAGCAGAAUCAGAAUUUAUAGUUCUUUUUGCAUCAUGUUGAGUUUCAUUCACGAGAAUGUUAACUGCACUUCUUGAUUGUUAAUACAGAUCUGCUGUACUUCUAGAUGUGAUUGGAAUCAGUGCUCUUAUUAUAUAUGUGACCCGUGUGGCUCUGGGUUACAAACAGACAAGGGAUAGGUAUCAGCUUCUGGUCAACAAGACACUUUAUGAGAAAACCUUAGCAAGUGGCUUCGGCUC
RNA transcript from Rhododendron vialii, 5322 nucleotides. RefSeq lists it as uncharacterized. The transcript is spliced from 10 exons. NCBI's taxonomy places the organism in Eukaryota, Viridiplantae, Streptophyta, Magnoliopsida, Ericales, Ericaceae. The record is from RefSeq and is a predicted model, not a curated record.